This 379-nucleotide unclassified non-coding RNA is filed under the name soil metagenome. RNAcentral's name for it is "partial contains 5.8S ribosomal RNA, internal transcribed spacer 2, and large subunit ribosomal RNA". The stretch from base 1 to 120 matches the Rfam family "5.8S ribosomal RNA", at positions 35 to 154 of the family's 154-position model. The record is from RNAcentral.
GAUGAAGAACGUAGCGAAAUGCGAUAAGUAAUGCGAAUUGCAGAAUUCAGUGAAUCAUCGAAUCUUUGAACGCACAUUGCGCCCGCCAGUAUUCUGGCGGGCAUGCCUGUUCGAGCGUCAUUUCAACCCUCAAGCCCCAGCGGCCUGGUGUUGGGGACCGGCGACCUCGCCCGAGCCCGCCCUCCGGGGCGCGUGCCCGGUGCGUCCGCCGCCCCCGAAAUGAAUUGGCGGCCUCGUCGCGGCCUCCUCUGCGUAGUAGCACAACCUCGCAAGCGGGAGCGCGACGCGGCCACUGCCGUAAAACGCCCAACUUUUUUAGAGUUGACCUCGGAUCAGGUAGGAAUACCCGCUGAACUUAAGCAUAUCAAUAAGCGGAGGA